RNAcentral lists this ribosomal RNA (497 nucleotides) under uncultured bacterium. RNAcentral describes it as "partial 16S ribosomal RNA". It matches the Rfam family "Bacterial small subunit ribosomal RNA", at positions 28 to 507 of the family's 1533-position model. The record is from RNAcentral.
GAUGAACGCUGGCGGCGUGCCUAAUACAUGCAAGUCGAGCGAACAGACGAGGAGCUUGCUCCUCUGACGUUAGCGGCGGACGGGUGAGUAACACGUGGAUAACCUACCUAUAAGACUGGGAUAACUUCGGGAAACCGGAGCUCAUACCGGAUCAUAUAUUGAACCGCAUGGUUCAAUAGUGAAAGCCGGUUUUGCUGUCACUUAUAGAUGGAUCCGCGCCGCAUUAGCUAGUUGGUAAGGUAACGGCUUACCAAGGCAACGAUGCGUAGCCGACCUGAGAGGGUGAUCGGCCACACUGGAACUGAGACACGGUCCAGACUCCUACGGGAGGCAGCAGUAGGGAAUCUUCCGCAAUGGGCGAAAGCCUGACGGAGCAACGCCGCGUGAGUGAUGAAGGUCUUCGGAUUGUAAAACUCUGUUAGUUGGGAAGAAGAAAUGUGUAAGUAACUAUGCACGUCUUGACGGUACCUAAUCAGAAAGCCACGGCUAACUACGUG